RNAcentral lists this ribosomal RNA (253 nucleotides) under uncultured bacterium. Its description in RNAcentral is "partial 16S ribosomal RNA". It matches the Rfam family "Bacterial small subunit ribosomal RNA", at positions 524 to 776 of the family's 1533-position model. The record is from RNAcentral.
GACGGAGGAUGCAAGUGUUAUUCGGAAUCACUGGGCGUAAAGCGUCUGUAGGUGGUUUAAUAAGUCAACUGUUAAAUCUUGAGGCUCAACCUCAAAAUCGCAGUCGAAACUAUUAGGCUAGAGUAUAGUAGGGGUAAAGGGAAUUUCCAGUGGAGCGGUGAAAUGCGUAGAGAUUGGAAAGAACACCGAUGGCGAAGGCACUUUACUGGGCUAUUACUAACACUCAGAGACGAAAGCUAGGGUAGCAAAUGGG